CGGCGUGUAGCGCAGCCUGGUAGCGCACCACGUUCGGGUCGUGGGGGUCGCAGGUUCAAAUCCUGCUACGCCGACCA
This 77-nucleotide transfer RNA is filed under the name Pseudomonadota bacterium. RNAcentral's name for it is "Proteobacteria bacterium (hot springs metagenome) tRNA-Pro". It matches the Rfam family "tRNA". Rfam says of the family: Transfer RNA (tRNA) molecules are approximately 80 nucleotides in length. Their secondary structure includes four short double-helical elements and three loops (D, anti-codon, and T loops). The record is from RNAcentral. Lineage: Bacteria; Pseudomonadati; Pseudomonadota.